Molecule: ribosomal RNA, 740 nt
Filed under: Alcaligenes faecalis
Lineage: Bacteria; Pseudomonadati; Pseudomonadota; Betaproteobacteria; Burkholderiales; Alcaligenaceae
Description: bacterial SSU rRNA
Rfam family: Bacterial small subunit ribosomal RNA
Source: RNAcentral
AUACGCUAGGCGGGAUGCUUACACAUGCAGUCGAAUCGGCAGCACGAGAGAGCUUGCUCUCUUGGUGGCGAGUGGCGGACGGGUGAGUAAUAUAUCGGAACGGUGCCCAGUAGCGGGGGAUAACUACUCGAAAGAGUGGCUAAUACCGCAUACGCCCUACGGGGGAAAGGGGGGGAUUCUUCGGAACCUCUCACUAUUGGAGCGGCCGAUAUCGGAUUAGCUAGUUGGUGGGGUAAAGGCUCACCAANGCAACGAUCCGUAGCUGGUUUGAGAGGACGACCAGCCACACUGGGACUGAGACACGGCCCAGACUCCUACGGGAGGCAGCAGUGGGGAAUUUUGGACAAUGGGGGAAACCCUGAUCCAGCCAUCCCGCGUGUAUGAUGAAGGCCUUCGGGUUGUAAAGUACUUUUGGCAGAGAAGAAAAGGUAUCUCCUAAUACGAGAUACUGCUGACGGUAUCUGCAGAAUAAGCACCGGCUAACUACGUGCCAGCAGCCGCGGUAAUACGUAGGGUGCAAGCGUUAAUCGGAAUUACUGGGCGUAAAGCGUGUGUAGGCGGUUCGGAAAGAAAGAUGUGAAAUCCCAGGGCUCAACCUUGGAACUGCAUUUUUAACUGCCGAGCUAGAGUAUGUCAGAGGGGGGUAGAAUUCCACGUGUAGCAGUGAAAUGCGUAGAUAUGUGGAGGAAAUACCGAUGGCGAAGGCAGCCCCCUGGGAUAAUACUGACGCUCAGACACGA